ACGGAGGGAGCAAGCGUUGUUCGGAAUUACUGGGCGUAAAGCGCACGUAGGCGGCUUUGUAAGUCAGAGGUGAAAGCCCGGAGCUCAACUCCGGAACUGCCUUUGAGACUGCAUCGCUUGAAUCCAGGAGAGGUGAGUGGAAUUCCGAGUGUAGAGGUGAAAUGCGUAGAUAUUUGGAGGAACACCGAUGGCGAAGGCGGCUCACUGGACUAGUACUGACGCUGAGGUGCGAAAGCGUGGGGAGCAAACAG
This 251-nucleotide ribosomal RNA is filed under the name uncultured prokaryote. RNAcentral describes it as "partial 16S rRNA". It matches the Rfam family "Bacterial small subunit ribosomal RNA", at positions 525 to 775 of the family's 1533-position model. The record is from RNAcentral.